This 606-nucleotide ribosomal RNA is filed under the name uncultured bacterium. RNAcentral describes it as "bacterial SSU rRNA". The stretch from base 1 to 530 matches the Rfam family "Bacterial small subunit ribosomal RNA", at positions 338 to 873 of the family's 1533-position model. The record is from RNAcentral.
CCUACGGGAGGCAGCAGUAAGGAAUAUUGGUCAAUGGACGAAAGUCUGAACCAGCCAUGCCGCGUGAAGGAUGAAGGCCCUCUGGGUUGUAAACUUCUUUUAUAGGGGACGAAAAAAGGGAAUUCUUUCCCACUUGACGGUACCCUAGGAAUAAGCACCGGCUAACUCCGUGCCAGCAGCCGCGGUAAUACGGAGGGUGCAAGCGUUAUCCGGAUUUACUGGGUUUAAAGGGUGCGUAGGUGGGCAGUUAAGUCAGUGGUGAAAUCUCCGAGCUUAACUCGGAAACUGCCAUUGAUACUAUCUGUCUUGAAUAUCCUGGAGGUGAGCGGAAUAUGUCAUGUAGCGGUGAAAUGCUUAGAUAUGACAUAGAACACCAAUUGCGAAGGCAGCUCACUACGGGAUUAUUGACACUGAGGCACGAAAGCGUGGGGAUCAAACAGGAUUAGAUACCCUGGUAGUCCACGCCCUAAACUAUGGAUACUCGACAUCAGCGAUACACUGUUGUGUCUGAGNGAGANAUAGUAUCCACGNGAGACGAGUGNGAGAGUUAGUAAGUUACAAUAGAGUUGAGCGNGAGAGNGCGACGGACGACGACGAGGGAGGAGG